Molecule: long non-coding RNA, 422 nt
Organism: Mus musculus (house mouse)
Lineage: Eukaryota; Metazoa; Chordata; Mammalia; Rodentia; Muridae
Product: predicted gene, 31137
Exons: 3
Source: RefSeq, a predicted model, not a curated record
UCCCCCUCCUCUGCUUCCUUUCUGCUGGAUGAGCAUGCUCCUCUAUGGCAUCUUAAUGCUUCCAUGUACUCGGACACGUCAGAGGCCAAAAUAGUGAAGCAAGUAACCGUGGACCAACACUCUGAAAACAGGAACCAACCAACCUUCCCUUUCUUUGAUUCGUUUCUCUCAAGUAUUGUCACAGCAGUGGAGAGCUGGCUAGCACUUCUCCCAUGGACAUAUUUCCAAGUGGAGCCUUCUGUCUCCCUACCUCAAUGGCUUACCAUAUGGAUCCUUCUGCCUAGAAUGUCUCUGAACUCCAUCUGUCAAAAUCCUUUAAAACAUAUCUCCGGGAACCAGAAAGAUGGCUCAGUGAUGGAGAUGUUGAAAUACUAACAGAACCACCUAGCCCUUCUUAUAUGUCUGAGAGCACUGGAAAGGAC